GUUUUCUUGUAGUGAUGAGGUAUGAUAAAUAUUCUCCUUUGGAUUUUUUUAGGUUCAAUGGUUUAUAGUGGUGAUGAGAAGUAACAUUAGCUUUGUGAAUUGUGAAUUUUCUAGAUAAUCAAGUAGUAUAACUGUCUUGAACGGUGGAAACAUGUUUGAAAAAUGUUGUCUUGAGAAGUUGUCUUGAGAAGUUGUCUUGAACGGUGGAAACAUGUUUGAAAAAUGUCAGUUCUGAUGUUGAGAAAUUGAAGAAAUUGAUUCUGCACAACCCGGUAGUCUUGACCUUGCAAGAAGGUUCUGACAAGGAAGAGCCCGUCCCAAGUAAUGUUCAGCAGUUUUGGAUUUCUUGCAGUACUCAGGAUAAACUACUACACAUUCUUGCUCUCCUGAAGCUAGAGGUUGUUCAGAAGAAAGUUCUGAUAUUCAUCAAUACUAUUGACAUGGGUUUCAACGGCCAUUGACACCGGUGAAAAGUGAUUGGACUCUCUUGCAACACACAUGUAUUGAGAGCAUCCGUGUCACGUACUCACGGAUUUCUUCUUAUUUCACCAAACGUUCCAUGUUAAGUUCUUUCUUCUUUCUUCUAUCUCAAGUUUUUUAUCUAAACACAAGAUCAAACGAUUCAAAUUAUUUAUCUAAACACAAGUUCUAGCUCAAACUCUUUCUUCCAUCUCAAGUCUUAUAAAACAAGAAAAGUCCUACCAAUAAUCUUUAAUUUAUGGAUUGUCCUUAGCUUUGUCUUUUAAUAUAAAAGUAAUAAUAAAAUAUGUUAAGGACUUAAAAAUUGUCCUACCAAUAAUGUUGCCCUUAGAUACCAUUCAUUGAGGAUGUUGCCCUAAAAACUUCACCCUAAGAACUUCUCCAAUAAUCAUGCACCUAACCAUGGGGUUGUGGCCGGUCGUAUUGUGGGUUCAAAAUCUGUCCCCCCCCCCCCCCCCCUUGUAUAUAUUAUACAUCUGCGUUGGCCAGGUGGUGUAGAUAUCUAAUUCAUACGUAGAGCAACUGUUGCUUGCAUGUCCCCAGUGAACCUGCCUUCUAGAGAUUAAUCUGGGUCUCGCCCAAGACACCUUAGGUCUAUACAAAAAAAAAAGAAUUUUUAAAAACCUUUUUCUAAAUGCAAUAUGGACCAUUGAAGUAAACUUAAAGAAGCAAUUUGAAAUGACUCAAAAAGAAAUAACGAAAUUAGCCAUCCAACUAUAAUGCUACAAUAGUAGGUCAUCUUCAACCAUCCAUCUCACACCUUCUUUGCUUUUAACCCUCCACUAAGUGAUGAGAUUCAAACACCUUUUUCCAAAUUUUCUUUUCUUGUUCUUAUAAGAAAAGUUAAGUUUCUUUAGUUUAAAAGUAUUUAUAAUUUAUUAAAACAAGAAUCAUGUCUAAAUCUCAAAAAAAAAAAAAAAAAAAAAAAAAAAAAAAAAAAAAAAAAUCUCAACAAAGUUCCUGAUAGAAAUCAAAUCAUUUUAUCAUUUUAGGUAGAUAAACAUAAAAAUAAUAAUUUGCUUUGUUUUCUUCUGUCACAGACCUACACUGGUUUCUUUUUUAAUGUGUUUCACAUAUAUAACUCGUUAACUGAGUGGACUUCAAAACCGUUGUAACAACAUCAUCUUCUGGUUUUUCCCCUUUGUUAUGGGUCUACAUCCUUCUUUGUGUGUGUUAGGCUGUUAGCCUUUCAAUUAUUUUAUCUUUAUAUUACAUGUUUUCACGAUGCUGCUAUUUUAGAAUUAAAGUAUGUACCAAUCAACAUUUAUUUUAUACUCCAUGAUGUAAAAGCCAAACGCAAACGCAGAGAGAGUAUAUAUGCAUUACGUCAACAAACCAUAUAGAUAUUUAAUUGGGUUCCGGAAGUGUUUAUUACUAUUAAAGAAUAUUGAAACGUUAGUUAUAACCAACCACAACAAUCAAAACGUUAUUAAAUGUAUAAGAGACUGCCUGGAUUGGUUUGAAGUAAUCAAAAUCUGAAUCUGUUUUCCUCGCAUCCAAUCUAGAAUAUCCUGUAAGUGGACCUCCAACAAAAAGAUAUCGUACUACAUUUGCUGUACGUCUUUACAUGUUCUUGAUUUUUAGUUAGCUAUCUCGAAUACCCUCUCGAAUAUGGGAGACGUUUAAAUGUCAAAGGUCUAACAGGUUGGCUUAUCACCUAAUCUUAGAUUUUCUAUAUUGUAACGGGAAUUCAUAUAUAUAUAUAUAUAUAUAUGUUAUAGACACUUUGGAUAAGGCUCUUUUGAAAUUCGUGACUUGAAUCACGCGUUAUAAAAUAAUUCAAAAUAGAGUUUAGAAUAGCAACGUCAAAUGAUGAUAAACUAGCUCUACAUAAUGUAUAAGUUGACAGCAAAUGGAUAAUUCUUCUUUUUUUUUUGGCAGUACGCCAAAAUCAAAACUCCAUAAAUAAUUGAAACAAACAACAGCACUAACAACU
Molecule: long non-coding RNA, 2416 nt
Organism: Brassica rapa (field mustard)
Lineage: Eukaryota; Viridiplantae; Streptophyta; Magnoliopsida; Brassicales; Brassicaceae
Source: RefSeq, a predicted model, not a curated record